GACGGGGGCCCGCACAAGCGGAGGAACAUGUGGUUUAAUUCGAUGAUACGCGAGGAACCUUACCCGGGCUUGAACUGCAGGGGAACGAUAGAGAGAUCUUGAGGUCAGCAAUGACCCCUGUGGAGGUGCUGCAUGGUUGUCGUCAGCUCGUGCCGUGAGGUGUCGGCUUAAGUGCCAUAACGAGCGCAACCCUUGUCUGUAGUUGCCAUCAGGUGAUGCUGGGCACUCUGCGGAUACUGCCACCGUAAGGUGUGAGGAAGGUGGGGAUGACGUCAAAUCAGCACGGCCCUUACGUCCGGGGCUACACACGUGUUACAAUGGGGUGUACAGAGAGUCGGUGCAUGGCAAUAUGCAUCCAAUCCUUAAAGCACUCCUCAGUUCGGAUUGGGGUCUGCAACCCGACCCCAUGAAGCUGGAUUCGCUAGUAAUCGCGCAUCAGCCAUGGCGCGGUGAAUACGUUCCCGGGCCUUGUACACACCGCCCGUCAAGCCAUGAAAGCCGGGGGCGCCUGAAGUCCGUGACCGCGAGGGUCGGCCUAGGGUGAAACCGGUGAUUGGGGCUAAGUCGUAACAAGGUAGGCGUACCGGAA
RNAcentral lists this ribosomal RNA (589 nucleotides) under uncultured bacterium. RNAcentral's name for it is "bacterial SSU rRNA". It matches the Rfam family "Bacterial small subunit ribosomal RNA", at positions 912 to 1510 of the family's 1533-position model. The record is from RNAcentral.